CCUACGGGGGGCAGCAGUGAGGAAUAUUGGUCAAUGGCCGGAAGGCUGAACCAGCCAAGCCGCGUGAAGGACGAAGGUGCCAAGCAUUGUAAACUUCUUUUGUCAAGGGACAAAAUCAGGCUCGAGAGCCUGACCGAGGGUACUUGAAGAAAAAGCAUCGGCUAACUCCGUGCCAGAAGCCGCGGUAAUACGGAGUCUGCGAGCGUUAUCGGGAUUUAUGGGGUUUAAAGGGUGCGUAGGCGGGCUGGUAAGUAAGCGGUAAAAGCCCGGGGCUCAACCCCGGCGAGCAGUUGAAAGUGGCUGUCUUGAGAUGUCGAGAGGUAUGCGGAAUGCGCAGUGUAGCGGUGAAAUGCUUAGAUAUUGCGCAGAACUCCGAUUGCGAAGGCAGCAUACCGGCGGCGAUCUGACGCUGAGGCACGAAGGCGAGGGUAUCGAACAGGAUUAGAUACCCUUGUAGUC
Molecule: ribosomal RNA, 459 nt
Filed under: uncultured bacterium
Lineage: Bacteria
Description: partial 16S ribosomal RNA
Rfam family: Bacterial small subunit ribosomal RNA
Source: RNAcentral